This 2747-nucleotide ribosomal RNA is filed under the name Alphaproteobacteria bacterium. Its description in RNAcentral is "23S ribosomal RNA". It matches the Rfam family "Bacterial large subunit ribosomal RNA". The record is from RNAcentral. Lineage: Bacteria; Pseudomonadati; Pseudomonadota; Alphaproteobacteria.
GAUCAAGCAUGACAAGAGCAUUUGGUGGAUGCCUUGGCACUGAGAGGCGAUGAAGGACGUAGCACGCUGCGAUAAGUUUGGGGGAGUUGCGAGCAGACUUUGAUCCCAAAAUGUCCGAAUGGGGGAACCCACACCGCAAGGUGUAUCUCCUGCUGAAUUCAUAGGCAGGCGAAGCAAACCCGGAGAACUGAAACAUCUCAGUACCCGGAGGAAAGGAAAUCAACCGAGACUCCGCUAGUAGUGGCGAGCGAACGCGGACCAGGCCAGUAAUUAUGUCUAACAAACCAGAACGCCUUGGAAAGGGCGACCAUAGAGGGUGACAGUCCCGUAUGGGCAGAUGUUGGAUGUAAUUCUUGAGUAAGGCGGGACACGUGCAAUCCUGUCUGAAUAUGGGGGGCCCACCCUCCAAGCCUAAGUACUCCUCAGUGACCGAUAGUGAACUAGUACCGUGAGGGAAAGGUGAAAAGAACCCUAAUGCAGGGAGUGAAAGAGUACCUGAAACCGAAUGCUUACAAACAGUCCGAGCGCGCAAGCGUGAGGGCGUACCUUUUGUAUAAUGGGUCAGCGAGUUAGUCUAUGCAGCAAGCCUAAGCCGAUAGGUGGAAGCGAAGCGAAAGCGAGUCUGAAUAGGGCGCCUUAGUUGCAUGGAUUAGACCCGAAACCUAGUGAUCUAGCCAUGGCCAGGUUGAAGGCAGGGUAACACCUGCUGGAGGACCGAACACACGCCUGUUGAAAAAGUCGGUGAUGAGCUGUGGUUAGGGGUGAAAGGCCAAUCAAACUAGGAAAUAGCUGGUUCUCCGCGAAAUCUAUUUAGGUAGAGCCUUGGAUGAUUACCUUGGGGGGUAGAGCACUGGAUGAGCUAGGGGGGCGCGAGCCUUACCAAACUUAACCAAACUCCGAAUACCCAAGAGUACAGUCCAGGAGGCAGUCCAUGGGUGCUAAGGUCCGUGGACGAGAGGGAAAGAGCCCAGACCAUCCGCUAAGGUCCCCAAGUGGUGACUAAGUUGGAAAGGAUGUGGGAAGGCCAAGACAGCCAGGAGGUUGGCUUAGAAGCAGCCAUCCUUUAAAGAAAGCGUAAUAGCUCACUGGUCUAGUUAAGCCGGCCUGCGCCGAAAAUGUAACGGGGAUUAAGUCAUCCACCGAAGCGAUGGGUGUGUAGCAAUACACGCGGUAGCGGAGCGUUCCGUAAGCCUGUGAAGCAUGACUCGGAAGAGCAUGUGGAGGUAUCGGAAGUGAGAAUGCUGACAUGAGUAACGACAAACAAUGUGAGAAACAUUGUCGCCGUAAGUCCAAGGGUUCCUGCGCAAGGUUAAUCCACGCAGGGUGAGCCGACUCCUAAGGUGAGGCCGAAAGGCGUAGCCGAUGGCAACACGGUUAAUAUUCCGUGGCCUGUUGGUAGUGACGAAGUUGAAAGAAUGUCCGAGAUUAUUGGAUUUCGAGGGCGUUCGAUCAGCUUCCAGGAAAUAGCUCCAACGUUAUAGGUCGUACCCUAAACCGACACAGGUGGACGAGUUGAGUAUACUCAGGCGCUUGAGAGAAGGAUGUUGAAGGAACUCGGCAAAUUACCCUCGUAACUUCGGGAUAAGAGGGCCUGUCUUAUGGGCAACCACUAGACAGGGGCACAGAAUUGGGGGUGGCGACUGUUUAUCAAAAACACAGGACUCUGCGAAGUCUCACAUGACGACGUAUAGGGUCUGACGCCUGCCCGGUGCUGGAAGGUUAAGGAGAGGGGUGCAAGCUCUGAACCGAAGCCCCAGUAAACGGCGGCCGUAACUAUAACGGUCCUAAGGUAGCGAAACUCCUUGUCGGGUAAGUUCCGACCUGCAUGAAUGGCGUAACGAUCUCCCCACUGUCUCCAACAUCUACUCAGUGAAAUUGAAUUCCCCGUGAAGAUGCGGGGUUCCCGCGGUUAGACGGAAAGACCCUAUGAACCUUUACUAUAGCUUUGCAGUGGUAUUAGAGAUUGCAUGUGUAGCAUAGGUGGGACUCUUUGAAGCUUGGGCGCCAGCCCGGGUGGAGAGGUCAGUGAAAUACCACCCUUGUAAUCUUUGAUAUCUAACUCAGUCCGGUGAAUCACGGACGAGGACCCUGCAUGGUGGGUAGUUUGACUGGGGCGGUCGCCUCCCAAAUCGUAACGGAGGCGCGCGAUGGUUAGCUCAAGCUGGUCGGAAAUCAGCUGUUGAGUGCAAUGGCACAAGCUAGCCUGACUGCAAGACGUACAUGUCAAGCAGAGACGAAAGUCGGUCAUAGUGAUCCGGUGGUUCUUCGUGGAAGGGCCAUCGCUCAACGGAUAAAAGGUACUCUAGGGAUAACAGGCUGAUGACGCCCAAGCGUCCAUAGCGACGGCGUCGUUUGGCACCUCGAUGUCGGCUCAUCACAUCCUGGGGCUGGAGAAGGUCCCAAGGGUUCGGCUGUUCGCCGAUUAAAGUGGUACGUGAGCUGGGUUCAAAACGUCGUGAGACAGUUUGGUCCCUAUCUGCCGUGGGUGUAGGAAUAUUGAAAGGAGCUGUCCCUAGUACGAGAGGACCGGGAUGGACGUAUCUCUGGUGGAUCGGUUGUCGCGCCAGCGGCAUAGCCGAGUAGCUAAGUACGGACGAGAUAAACGCUGAAAGCAUCUAAGCGUGAAACUUACCUUGAAACAAGUAUUCCCCGAGAGUCGUGGUAGACCACCACGUUGAUAGGCCGGAUGUGGAAGCGCCGCGAGGCGUGCAGCUUACCGGUACUAAUAACUCAAUAGGCUUGAUCCU